UUAAGAGUCAAUGCUCACAGGCAUCACAGACUGCAGUUGGAAAACAAGCUCUUGCCAAUUCGUCCCAGUUCGUUUGAGUAGAGGCGAUUACGAUCGUCUUUUAUUAAAUUUCAUUGAGUUUAUCAAACUGAAACAAACUUUACUACUUUAGCGGUACAAUUUAUAUUUGAUUGAUGAUUGAUCAUAUUGAAAAUACUCAAGUUCGAGUUCUUUUAGUUGUUGUUGGUAAAGAAAGUAUAACCUGUAGAGUUAAGUUACUUGAUUUGUUUAUGAUUGUAAAAACAUUGUUAUAAAUUGUAGAUUGACAGUGUUUAAGAAGAUCGUGGUGAAAUGCAAGUUAUAGGGAUAAUAUUUUUCGCAUGCUUGGCCUUCGCCAUAGCUAUACUAAUCUUAAUCACAUGCUGUUUCUACAAAGUCAGCAGUGGCAAAGACGAUCCCGAAAUGUGCAAAGCAUCAGUAAACGCAUCAGAUAAAGUACAUCGAAUGAAACAAAUCGCACACAACAAACCAGUCAGUGACGAAAAGCCGAGCGCAAAUGUUAUUUUAUUUUUAAACAAGAAAAAUAAAUACUCAGAUGAAAAAAGAAAUCAUUAUCAAAGUCACAGUGGUGAUGGGCUUGGGAUUGGUCAUUUUAAUGACGGAUUCUGCAGUCAUCAAAGCGGUUGGGGUCAUCACAGUAAUGAUCAAGGAUUUGAUGAUUGUGGGCAUACUAAUGACGGAGGGCAUGGAGGGGAUGGGGACGGUGGAGACGAUUAAUAUAGAAACCCUGUAGUAAAUAUGAUUCAUAAAAUAGCAUAAGCAUUAAGUUUGAUUUAGUGUACCUACGAGUGAUUUAUUAUUUAAUACCCUGCCAACCAACCAAAAGUUUUUAAGUAGGAACUUAAAGUAGGCAUUAUUUUAUAAGAUUCUUAAACUUAAUUUAACAAGUUACCAAUGUCAAGAUAUUAAAAAAGAUCUUAUUUGUGUAAUGUCAAGAUAUUAAAAAAGAUCUUAUUUGUGUGAUAGUAUAAAUUGUUUUUAUUUUACAUAUAAAAUAUGAAAUCACUGAUGU
Molecule: long non-coding RNA, 1051 nt
Organism: Cydia splendana
Lineage: Eukaryota; Metazoa; Arthropoda; Insecta; Lepidoptera; Tortricidae
Exons: 2
Source: RefSeq, a predicted model, not a curated record